Molecule: long non-coding RNA, 177 nt
Organism: Setaria italica (foxtail millet)
Lineage: Eukaryota; Viridiplantae; Streptophyta; Magnoliopsida; Poales; Poaceae
Exons: 3
Source: RefSeq, a predicted model, not a curated record
CCGUUCGGGGAGCUAGGAUUGCCUACAGCAUCUGGGACGUCGCAGGAGACGUCCAGUCUGUCGAUCACAUCCCAAUCGCGUGCAAGGAUGCCGUUGCGAUCCUGUACAUGUUCGAUCUCACGAGCCGGUGCACGCUUAAUAAUAUUAUAGAUUGGUACGAGAGGGCGAGGAAAGGAA